CCAGUAUCAGGACUCCCCCCUCCCCCUCCUCCACCUACAAUCAGCUCCGGUGGUUCAGUCCCACCUCCUCCAUUUCCUGGACGUUAACAUAGUUACUUCCUGUCUGUUGAGUUACAAAAAUAAAAAACCUGUCGAUGAACGAGCAAAUAAAUAUUUUUAAAGCUUUGGACUCAACCUUGUUUGGUUUGUUUGAUCUGAAGGGAACAGACGUCUGCAAGUCCCGACAGCGCCGCUGCAUUCCUGGAGAACACGAGCUGAAACACCCGACCCCUGAACUCCUGCGCUCCCUAGUUUACAUCUUAUUUUAAACAUGAUAAAAAUCCCAUCCGUGCAUUUGCUGCUAAAUAAACUGUUUUAGAGACGGCCGCUGCUCUGCUACUGCCAGCGCUUUAUCUCCAGGCUGUAAAGUGUUUGAGAGCAAAGACUCAUUCGUAGCACACGGCUGUUAGAGAAGGUGUGGUCAAAAACAAUCAGUCAUGCUCUUUUACUUCACUCUUUCGAUUCCUGCCUAUUUAGGAUGCGUGGCUCUGUUUAUUUUGUGGUGCCAUCUUAUGAAAAGACGCAGAGAAGCUGCAGAACCGUCCAACGCUCUCGGCGUCCCUCCACCGGUUUACAUCGUCCCGAUUUAUGAUCUGGAUCAGGACUUCAACCAACCAUCUUCUGACUCGGAUUCAGCAAAUGUCUCUCUUCCUCCUCCUUACAUGACUCUCCCACCUUCGUACUCUGAACUUCCUCCGUCGUAUGCGGACCCGCCGCCGUACAGCGAGCGCCAGUGACCCUCCUCUUCCUCCAUUUAUGAGAUCAAACUUUUCAAAUGCUGCUAAAACACGGCAGAAUUAUGCAAUCCAAUCACAGCAGGUGAUAAAAAUAUGUUGCAUCAGUAUUUGUUUAUCUAAAAUGGGUCAUGAGACUGAUACCCGCAUUCUGGAUUGGGUGACAUGUUUGUUAUAGCGUUUCAUGGAAAAGCACUUUGAUAAAUUAAAAAAUAAUAAACGUUUAUCAAUAAAUGUGUGUAGAGGAGGAAGUUCAAUGUCGAAAAUAAGCAUGAAAUAAAUGUAUUUAUUUUUUCACAAUAAAAGUCUUUGUGCUCAUAAAUAUUUUGUGUUUUAUUUAAAAAAAUCUAACAAUUUUUUUUUUUUUUUGCUAAAGAUGAGUCAUUUUGAAAACCAAAAUUCUGCUUUUUAAAAAGAAAAGCAUAGAAAGUUUGAUUCCUUAUACUGUUUUUAUGAAUAAAUCAUUAAAAAAGCAAUUUUUGAACCGAUUCUCAUUUACAUAAAACACAUUUGAAAACAAGAUUUUAAAUAAAUGAUGAUACAUUUGUAGCUUCUUACAUUUUAUGCUCUUAAACAUCAUCUGAUGAGCCAAAAAUUAACAUUUUAAGUACUGGAUUUGUGUCAAAUAUUGACAUGUUUGUUAUGGUUUGAAUUUUAAGGAAAAGCACUUUAAUAAA
This 1450-nucleotide long non-coding RNA is filed under the name Oryzias javanicus (javanese ricefish). RNAcentral's name for it is "lncRNA (ENSOJAG00000010144.1)". The record is from RNAcentral. Lineage: Eukaryota; Metazoa; Chordata; Actinopteri; Beloniformes; Adrianichthyidae.